AUUUUUCAGUUCUGAACAUGUUUUGAUUGUCUGGUGUGUGCCAGGCACUCUGAGAAGCUCUGGCCACACUGUGAUGAACAAAAUGGCAUCCUUGCCUUUGAGGAACUGAAGUGUGGAGUGUGGGAAAGACCACACGGUGUGGGAAAAGCUCUGGUGGGGCAAAUGCCUGGGCCCUCCAGGAAGGGAAGUGCUCAGAGCAGGCUUCCCAGAGGAGAAACAUCUUUGGAAACAGCUGAAGGAGGAGCAGCACUGGUCAGAUGAGGAAGCAUUUAGAGAGAGAGAGCGCACAAGCAGGGGGAACGGCAGGCGGAGGGAGAAGCAGACUCCCUGCCGAGCAGGGAGCCCGACGCAGAACUCGAUCCCAGGACCCUGGGAUCAUGACCUGAGCCAAAGGCAGACACUUAACUGACUGAGCCACCAGGCGUCCUGAGAAAAUACUCUUAGUUCUAUUACUCUAACAGUCAUUUUUUGAAUUUUGAAUAUCUUAAUAUUUUUCCUAACAGUAUAUAAGCAUGUUACUGAGCUGACCAUCCUUUGGCAUCAAGACUGACUGACCUGACUGCUCUAUCUUGUGGGCGCGAGGCUGCAGAAGUCCCCACCUCUCUGUGCAGCCCAUAUGGAGCAGAAUGGAGAAUCCCGUCACCCAGCUCGUGCUCCCUCUAUCACACGUCUGCCCCGCGUUGCAUAUGUUCCCUGCACUUGCAGGAGGCACGUGGAUUUGCUCCAGGUGGAUGCACUUUCAUGUCUCAGCAUCAACAGGGAAGCCCUGGGGCAGGAGGUGGGGAGCUGCCGGGCUGCGUCCGUGUGAAGUUGAUGGGAAUCCACAGAGAGCUGGCCACUGCAAAGGUGAAGCAAGAGCAGAUGAAUUAAAGCAUGAAAGUAACUUGACUUUUAUGGGUCAAAGUCAUCUUGAAUGUUUAUGGUCACCAUGCCAGAGGAAAGAGAGAGCUGGGUGAUUUGUACCAGCUCGCUCCAUUCACUAGAAUCAGCCACGGGGCCCCCGUACAACCACAAGGGGGCAGAAAGCCAAUGCUGUGGUAGGCCUAAAAUAAAGGCGAACCAGGGAUAUUUGACAAAUAGUGCCAACGACUCCCACAGCAGGUCUGACAUUUUUAGCAGCACGAUAGUCCUAUUUUGCAGAUGAGAAAAUUGAGUCAUAGAGUUUAAGAGACUCGCUCAAAGUCACACAGCUAGAAAAUGGUGAGACCAGAUUUGACGCCUGGCAGUCUGGAUUCAAAGUCCAUGCUCUAAACCGCUGUACUAUACGGCUGAGGGAUGAGGAGGCUGUGACUACAAACUACGAAUGGAAGAAUCAUCCCCGAGGCUCACUGAUUGUAACCCGAAAAGACUCCCUGUCGUCUAGGCAAGUUUCGGGAACUGAUUAACUCCUAGGAACGCUUGCAUGUCUGCUGGCCCCAGGUGGUGUAAACGCCAAGCGUGGACCAAGACCCCGCGGCGCCCCCGAUGUAUCAUCUCCCCGAGUGACAGUGUGCACCUCUCACAUUAACACUUGGUUCCGCUUGGGUCUCUUCCAUCUCCACCCCUCCUCCCCGAGCCCCUGCCACCAUCUCACCUCGUCUCCUCCCACGCCCCUGGACCGAGCAUCCCUUCUGGCAGGAUGCAGCCAUGUCAGAUCACCAGGAGUUUCCGCCGCUGUGCUGUGCUCUCACGCAUCUAUGUCUUGGUGCAGACUGUUCCAUUUCUCAGAACGCCUUCCAAACAAGUUUGCUUGGAUAAUUCCUGCUCAUGGUUUAACUCUCAGCCCGAACAAUGGAAAUGAAAAGAAAGGACCGUUCCCAAGAGGCCCUGGAAGGGGAGUUGAAGUCACUUGGGGAGAGCUGUGACCUGAUACCAGGAUAAGAAGGAGCCACAGCUAACUCCAAGACUGAUGAGAGGUAGCUGGCUUGUGAACUGCAGGGGCUGACUGGAGACAGCCGACGAGACUUACCUGGACUUUGUGGCUGUUUAAAUGACUGGAUCUUUGACGAGGAACAACCACCUGAUGGCAGAUUCUGAGGGAGACGGGGCGGGUCACCCCACGGGCGUGGUGAAUAACACUGCUUCUGUUUUCAAGUUGCUGCAGCGAAGAGCGGCUUUUGAAUGGGUCUGUGAACGCUUCAGCCGUUCUGUUCUGGUGUUUGAAGGGCAGCUCACUGUACUGACAUGCUGGACAAGAAGGAUUUGAUCUAAUUUUAGUUGCAGUAAAUAUGAUGUUGCUCUUCCAUUGUACUUGGACUUUCCUUUAACAGCACGAUGGCUUAAUUAUGCCACUCUCUGUUCCAGCACCCCUCCCCAGCCGCCCCUUCAUCAGUAGCAGAGACCAGGGAUCAGCCCUACUGAGACGUUUUUUGCAAUUGUCCUCAUUUUACUUUGUAGGCAAGAAGCAUGUUUUUCUGUCUAUUUAAACUGAGAAAUACACGAUUACCACUUCGGGCCUCCUUGUGAGCUCAGGGUUUGACACAAUUUGCACUCUAUAAUUUCUGACGUUUUUGUGGCUCACUGUUAGGGCUGACACAAAGCAGAGGGAAUGAGUCUGUAGAGGAAAAGAGAGAGAGAAAACGUGGGUACACCAAUGUGCUGCCAUUACUCAGCGAAGUGCACGAUUCUCGCACUAGUUCAUUUUGUUUGAAACAGGAUUUUACUUUUCAGGAGCCACUUACUCUUAAUUUUUACCCACUCAGUCCUUUUGGUGUUGUCCUUCUGUACUCUGAAGUUGGAAGAUAUCAUGGCCGGUGACUUGCACUCUGGUAAAAUGUUUCCUACGAUGCCUGCUUGCUCUUGUCUUAGAUGAAUUUUGGAGUCUGCUUCUGAUGUUAUUUUAACGUAUAAACUUUUAACGACGUGUGUUCUUUCUUUUAUGUUUCACUUAAGUCAGCACAUGAUUUUGUAAAUGGA
Long non-coding RNA from Mirounga angustirostris (Northern elephant seal), 2895 nucleotides. RefSeq lists it as uncharacterized. Lineage: Eukaryota; Metazoa; Chordata; Mammalia; Carnivora; Phocidae. The transcript is spliced from 8 exons. The record is from RefSeq and is a predicted model, not a curated record.